RNAcentral lists this ribosomal RNA (253 nucleotides) under uncultured bacterium. RNAcentral's name for it is "partial 16S ribosomal RNA". It matches the Rfam family "Bacterial small subunit ribosomal RNA", at positions 524 to 776 of the family's 1533-position model. The record is from RNAcentral.
UACGAAGGGGGCUAGCGUUGUUCGGAAUCACUGGGCGUAAAGGGCGCGUAGGCGGCCGAUCAAGUCGGGGGUGAAAGCCUGUGGCUCAACCACAGAAUUGCCUUCGAUACUGUUUGGCUUGAGACCGGAAGAGGUUAGUGGAACUGCGGGUGUAGAGGUGAAAUUCGUAGAUAUUCGCAAGAACACCAGUGGCGAAGGCGGCUGACUGGUCCGGUUCUGACGCUGAGGCGCGAAAGCGUGGGGAGCAAACAGG